UCCACACUGAUUCCUGUUUGGUUUGGCAGGGUGAGCUGCUGGCAGACGUCCUCGGUGCUGAAUUCUCCAUACUCCACUGUGCAGGGGUUACUGAAAUAACAACCAGCUUUCCCUCAGACGUGGAACACGAGCCAAGUGUGACACAAAUUGUGAAAUUUGUUUCUGGUUACCGGGAAAACUUAAAGAAAUCCCAAUGAAGCAAAAAGGUCGACAAAAUUCUCUCCAACAUUUGAACAAAAAAGGUAUUUUUCGGGUCUUAGAUUUAUGGGAGUCAAUGCUCCAGCUCCCAGCCAGACUUUCAAACCUCCUAUUCUUUGCACUACAUUAUUUAAACACACUGUAAAUACCCUUA
RNAcentral lists this long non-coding RNA (352 nucleotides) under Lynx pardinus (Iberian lynx). The record is from RNAcentral. Lineage: Eukaryota; Metazoa; Chordata; Mammalia; Carnivora; Felidae.